GAUGAAGAACGUAGUGAAAUGCGAUACUUGGUGUGAAUUGCAGAAUCCCGUGAACCAUCGAGUCUUUGAACGCAAGUUGCGCCCGAAGCCAUUAGGCCGAGGGCACGCCUGCCUGGGUGUCACACACCGUUACCCUCGCGCCAACGUCCAUCGUUGGCCGCGGCGCGGGGCGUGCGCUGACCUCCCGCGAGCGGGGUCUCGUGGUUGGUUGAAAAUCGAGUUCGCGGUCGAGGGUGCCGUGAUGAAAUGGUGGAUGGGCGACGCCCGAGGCCAAUCACGCGCGACUCUGUCCGGCCCGGACUCCUGGACCCCUUCGGCGUCUCCGGACGCUCUUUGGCGAGACCUCAGGUCAGGCGGGGCUACCCGCUGAGUUUAAGCAUAUCAAUAAGCGGAGGA
RNAcentral lists this unclassified non-coding RNA (396 nucleotides) under soil metagenome. Its description in RNAcentral is "partial contains 5.8S ribosomal RNA, internal transcribed spacer 2, and large subunit ribosomal RNA". The stretch from base 1 to 122 matches the Rfam family "5.8S ribosomal RNA", at positions 35 to 154 of the family's 154-position model. The record is from RNAcentral.